UCUCUGUGUUUAUGUCCUGCCUGCAUCGUCUGCGACUGUUACACGGCUUGUCUGGAGCGCACAGCCCUCCUCUCGCUGUGACAGAGGUCAGUGAGUGCUCCGAGCCGCGGCUGACGUCAUGCUGCUGCAACCCCACAGACACACCAGCAGGCAGGCAGGCAGGCAGGCAGACGGACGGACAGGCCAACAGACAAACCAACGAGCAGACUGGGAGUAUUUAUAGUCUCACUCUGCCUAUGAGUCCUCACAGCGAGCGGUAGUGGGCCAAUCAGGUUGACUUUGAAACGGAUCGUGGGUGAUUAGCCGGGAAUGCUGGGAGAAUGCCGAGGUCUCUCUGGUGAACCCCGCAGCUGGUGCCGGAGUCAGCGGAGCAACGAUCCAGCCGAUGCAAAUGAGGCCAGGAGAGCGUCGCCUCUGUAACAUAUGCGGCUCCUCAUUUGCCGCCGGGGCCACUGAGCUGAGGACAGGGGGCGGGGCCGCUCCUCACAUCAGAAUGGUAAUUCUCCAAUCAGCGAGGUGACAUGCUCGGCAAAAGAGAAAGGAGAGCCACGCGACGCUGACAGGGGACAUCAGUUUCACGAAACAUUUCCUCCUCUGCACCUGAAAGCGCGGCGUAAUCACGCGCAGGGGCGAUGCACCAUGAAAUGGAAUGGGCGCCCAGAUCCGGGGGAGCGGACACAGCGCCGUGUCCACAGAAAUGAGGGUCAUUCUUUACCCCGAGAUGCCAGUGUCAGUUGAAAAGGCCCCGCAGGCCCAGGUCAGAGAGUCUUACGGGCAGCUUUAUGAAACUGCUCCACGUCAAACUUUCAUUUUUCACUUUGGAAGAUUCGCAGAUGUGUUUAA
Molecule: long non-coding RNA, 843 nt
Organism: Notolabrus celidotus (New Zealand spotty)
Lineage: Eukaryota; Metazoa; Chordata; Actinopteri; Labriformes; Labridae
Exons: 3
Source: RefSeq, a predicted model, not a curated record